Molecule: long non-coding RNA, 871 nt
Organism: Eurytemora carolleeae
Lineage: Eukaryota; Metazoa; Arthropoda; Copepoda; Calanoida; Temoridae
Exons: 4
Source: RefSeq, a predicted model, not a curated record
UGUUUAGAUAUUUAUUUGGAAAACUUGUAGGUAAAUAUUGCGCCUGAUGACCCGUGUGAGACAACCCCACUGCUAGAAACCAGGACCAAAGCCAAGCUUUUAAAAGAGGACACCCUGGAGUUUACUGGUUACAAGAGACGAACCAAAGAGGAGUUACAGAAGCUCAUGUAUAGGUCUGAGAUGGAUGAGUGGAUGGUGGAGGCUGAGGAGGAGGAGAGACGAAAGGCGGAGGAAUUUCAACAGUCUGUGUUGACGAACCGAGUAGAGGAGAGGGAGCAGAGGAUUCAACUUGACGAUUCCGACAAUGAAUCAGAUCUGACCCUCACCCGACCAAUUAUACAUUAAAGGAUUGUUUACGAAAUUGUUUGUGACUUAAAAUUUUUAUUUCUAUCUGUUUUCCCUCAUGUUAAUCCAGAUUCAUCGACAUGGUUCCUGGUUUUUUUUUACUUUGAGUUUGGUCCUUUCCGAUAUAGAAGGACCUGAUCAUUUUUCUGUUAUCUGUGCAACCUUUGAUAUUUCAAAUUUCAAAUUCUGCAAGAAAAUUAUAAUUUUAAAUAUCAAAGAUUUACCCCAUUAGAAAAGCAGAAUUUGAAGUAGGGUUUCCAUGCGCAUUACUGUUUUAUUCAAAUUCUGGAAAGUUUGAUCAAAUUUUGUUAAAAAUUGCCUUAAUCAAUAUUACCAAAUAUAUUUUAAAGUUAAUUAUCAAAAAACUAGCCUUUGAGAAAAUGCACAGCUACAGAGUAGGUUUUGCGCAAUAACGCAUUGGAAAUCCUAGUUUGAAGCAUGUAAUAAGUUCCUUUCUAGAUUUAUCAAAUAGUGAAAACCUUUUUUGAAAAGUAUAUAGAAAAUAGAUGGUGUUAAUUUAAUUAGA